RNAcentral lists this transfer RNA (81 nucleotides) under Paragonimus skrjabini miyazakii. RNAcentral's name for it is "Paragonimus miyazakii tRNA-Asn". Lineage: Eukaryota; Metazoa; Platyhelminthes; Trematoda; Plagiorchiida; Troglotrematidae. The record is from RNAcentral.
GGCUUCGUAGCUUAGCUGGUAGAGCCCUUGCCGCGUUGAGGCAUGGUGUGUCUGUCGUUGUUUGGAAUCCAGCCGAAGCCC